This 254-nucleotide ribosomal RNA is filed under the name uncultured bacterium. RNAcentral's name for it is "partial 16S ribosomal RNA". It matches the Rfam family "Bacterial small subunit ribosomal RNA", at positions 524 to 776 of the family's 1533-position model. The record is from RNAcentral.
UACGUAGGGGGCGAGCGUUGUCCGGAUUUAUUGGGCGUAAAGAGCUCGUAGGCGGUUCGAUAAGUCGGACGUGAAAUCUCCACGCUCAACGUGGAGGGGCCGUUCGAUACUGUCGUGACUCGAGUCCGGUAGGGGAGUGUGGAAUUCCCGGUGUAGCGGUGAAAUGCGCAGAGAUCGGGAGGAACACCCGUAGCGAAGGCGGCACUCUGGGCCGACAUUGACGCUGAGGAGCGAAAGCGUGGGGAGCGAACAGG